AAAAUAAUUGUGUAAAUACUCUGUGCUUCAUAUAAUUAUUAAAACUACAAACACUGUAUAUGGAUUAUAUUUCGACUUCUAACCCAGUUUUUUUUAAGAAAAAUUUCUGCUAUUUCGAAUAUCCUACGAGUGCAGUUCAAUGCAGCUUCAAUUGGGUUCUGUGAAUGAUUCGAACUUCGACUUCUAGCCCAGUUUUUUUGAAGGUUAUUCUAAUGGAUUGGGGGAAUAAACUUCUAAUCCAAAAUAACCUGCCUCAAAUUACUAAUCCAUGGACAAUAUCAAGACAAAUGGACCGCCAGCUCAUAAUAAAACAAAA
Chrysoperla carnea is the source of this 316-nucleotide long non-coding RNA. RefSeq lists it as uncharacterized. The record is from RefSeq and is a predicted model, not a curated record. The transcript is spliced from 3 exons. NCBI's taxonomy places the organism in Eukaryota, Metazoa, Arthropoda, Insecta, Neuroptera, Chrysopidae.